Chrysemys picta bellii (western painted turtle) is the source of this 2470-nucleotide non-coding RNA. Lineage: Eukaryota; Metazoa; Chordata; Testudines; Emydidae. The record is from RefSeq and is a predicted model, not a curated record.
GAAAUCCCAAUUCUACCCCGCCAGGGUCAAGUGCAGCGUGUGGAGGAAUCCCGAGGAAUUUGAUGAGAAAUCGGGGACACGCUUGGGAAUUCAGACCAGUGGAAAGAUGGCCAGUCCUGUCCCGUCAGCCUGCUGCGUGGUGCUCGCCGCGGUGGUGAUGGUGUACGCUCAGAGGCACAGCCAGAUGGACACCCAUGUCCAGUACGAGCGGCUGGGCGCGGACGUGACCAUGCAGUGCGGGGCGAUGGACUGGGACGCGGCCGUGACCUGGACGGCCAACGGCACCGACAUCGAUGAGUCCCACCUCAACGGGUCGCACCUGGUGCUGCGGAAUGUCGACCUCACACACAGCGGCCAGUACGCCUGCUACGAAGGUUCCUCGUGGCACCUCAAAUACCAGACCUACCUGAAAGUGGGAACCUCGCCCAAGGAGCCAGUGCUGAUGUGCCGAUCCAACAACUACCCCAAGGGAUUCUACUGCAGUUGGCACCUACCCAGUCCCACGUACAUCCCCAACGCCUUCAAUAUCACCGUCAUGCAUGGCCCAAGAGAGUUGGUCUGUGAGAAAGACGCUUUCCCCAAAAACAGGUGUCACAUCAGAUAUCUCCAGCUGUUCUCCACGGUGAAGUACAAGGUGACCUUGACAGUCACGAAUGCCCUGGGCAGAAACGCCACCACAAUCACCUUUGACGAGUUCGCCAUAGUAAAGCCGGACCCUCCAGAGAACGUGGUGGCCAAGCCAGUAUCCAACAACCCCCGGAGGCUCGAAGUGAGGUGGCAGAACCCUUCCUCUUGGCCUGACCCCGAGUCCUUCCCGCUCAAAUUCUUCUUGAGGUAUCGCCCCCUCAUCCUUGACCAAUGGCAACAUGUGGAGCUGUCGGACGGGACGUCCCACACCAUCACCGAUGCCUACGCCGGCAAGGAGUACAUCAUCCAGGUGGCCGCCAAGGACAACGACAUCGGCACGUGGAGCGACUGGAGCGUCGCUGUGCACGCCACGCCCUGGACGGAGGAGCCCAAGCACCUCACCACAGAAGCCCAGGUGGCAGGCUGUUCCUUUCCCUCGCUCCAGAGACGACGACCACCGGCACCUCCUCCUUCGUGCCACCCCCCACCACCAAGAUCUGCGACCUGGAGGCCGUCGUUGGCAGCGGGGCCGUGACUGUGUCCUGGGCAGAGGGAUUGGUACUGGCAGCAGUUGGCGUUCUGUUUAUUUAAUCCCCUCCUCGCAGCCCCGCGGAGGAGACCACCGCCCCAUCUGAAUCUAUCUUCUCUUCUAUUUUGCACAUGUUAAGGCGGACGUAUCACAUUUCUCUUCAUCGCUUCACUUUGUAGAAGGACAGACCUGCCGCGCCGCGAGGGUUUCCCCGCCCGCUCCCCGAACUGCCAGGGGGACCGCGGAGCCUUUACAAAAAGAGAGAGAGACUACCCCCCUCCCCUGAUGCCCCCCCCAAACAGCGAGACGCGAACCCCGGCCGCGCUGCAGCGCAGCGCCCAGAGGAGAGCGCCAGCCGUCCCGGGCGAGAGAUCGGAUCAUACAGCUAAACCGCCAUGCCAAAGAUGCUACGCGACUUCGCUUCGCGCCCACGGCGCUCUGCUGCCGCCGCCGCCACAACACGGGUGACGAAACGUGUCAAACACACACGGGAAGGGGGAGGGGCAUCGAACCCACAAUGAGCCUUGUAAGGGGGCGACCCCCCUCCUCGCUCCUCCCAGGGGGCUCUGAAGAACUGAACUGGCUUCCAGAAGCCCCAGGCUGGAGGGGCGCCGGGGGGGGUUACUCCCCCGGAUGCGGUUCCCCACCCCCAGCCCCCGUGUGACAGGACAUGAGCGCUGUUUUCACGAGCGCAGACUAGUGCAUUGGGGGCUUUCUUUUUUACAGGAAAAAGGAAUCUAAGAAAACAACAGCCAAACCGACCCUCCUCCCUCCACCGCCCGCCUGCCCUGGACUCCCGGCACCUUCCAAACACCCACCCGCGCCCCCCAGCCCGGGCGAAAUCAGUGAGGAGACGAUAGCUCCGGUGAAGUCUGCGACUCUCCCCUGGCCCAUCGCCUGGUUGUCUCUCUUUUUAUCACCUCCCUUCCAUUUCUACAGGGAAGCGCCUCGGUUUCUGUAUUUGUCUUAUUAUUGAAAAACAAAUAUUCAUAAUGGAACUGUAGCGACACAAACAUAUCUCCUCCCCAUGCUCGUCCGUUCCCACCCCCCGUCCUUUGUUCUCUCCUCCCCCCACGCCCGCCGCACCCCGGUCCUGUUUUGUAAGACAGCUCCCUGCCCGUUCCGAGUGCAGUAUUUAAUACCCAACGUCCCAGUAUUCCAAAAGUUAACAUACUGUAUUUGAAUUUUUUAUAGAUGUAUAUAUAAAAAAACAAACAAAAAAAUACACACACACACCCCCAAAAACACCCAACAACAAAAAAUAAAGCGACCCAGGAGAGAGGUUGUUCAUUAAACGUGAUCAUUUCGUGAUGA